Choloepus didactylus (southern two-toed sloth) is the source of this 229-nucleotide long non-coding RNA. RefSeq lists it as uncharacterized. Lineage: Eukaryota; Metazoa; Chordata; Mammalia; Pilosa; Megalonychidae. The transcript has 3 exons. The record is from RefSeq and is a predicted model, not a curated record.
CUGGGAAACCUGGGGAUUGAACUCACGGAAAAGGAGCAAGAAAAGCUGCUGAACACCCUGCCAGUUGAUGCUGCUGGAAAGGUUUAUCAGAAUAGGCUGCUGAAGGGUGUGAAGACUCUCAAGGGGGGGAAAGUUCAUGUAAAUAACCUGGACCAUACUCUAGAAAAGUUGGGAAUCGAGCUCAUAGAAGAGGAAUUUGCAAAGCUGUUAGAAAGCCUACAAGUUGAUG